Non-coding RNA from Megalopta genalis, 708 nucleotides. The record is from RefSeq and is a predicted model, not a curated record. Lineage: Eukaryota; Metazoa; Arthropoda; Insecta; Hymenoptera; Halictidae.
GCGCAGCCAACGAGCGCGCGAAGACCAGUUCCGCUGAUUGGCGCAGCAGUCUCGCGGCGGCCGAGCUCGCCACUCGUUGCUCACCGAUGACUCGGUAAUAAUAGCUCGUGAACAAAGCCGCGGAUUGCAUUUUCGCUAAGGAAAAAGGUUACUUCGAAUGACCUCGGAAAUCCACCAUUUCCAGAUUUCGAGGCACUUUUGGGACACCCUGUAUUUACGCGUUGCAGUCGAUUUAUUGGAAUCCGCGCACCGAUCGAAUUCUCGCGGCUCUCUAGUUCGAAGGUCUAUAGUCCUCGCGCGGCAAGAAGGCGCCUUUCCGUUCGCGUACCCCCCCCCCCCCCACUAGCUAGUCCGCUGCCGCAGCUAGUAAGUGGAGGGGACGUAAACAGAAAAGGUGCCUCCGUGUCACGCGAGGACUGUACACGUGCCGUCGGUGAGCGCGCGGGAACAAAAAGCAGCGUAACAUCGCGUUUUAUUCAAUCAUGAUUUUUCAUACUUGAUAGCUCGAGGGUUAAGAACGAAUAUUAUAUAAUUCAGGCAGGCUCUCAUCGAACGAGCGAGCGAGAGAGAAGCGAGAGAGCGAGUCAACGAAGCGUGCAACGAGCGACAGCGUGAAUGAACAGAUUUGUGUUAAUCGGUAAAACCAAAAAAUAUGUUUAUAAUUGGUAUAGAUACGCUAUCGAUUGAAUAAAUUGUUUUUCUUAUAAA